AGUGAACGCUGGCGGUAGGCCUAACACAUGCAAGUCGAACGGCAGCACAGGAGAGCUUGCUCUCUGGGUGGCGAGUGACGGACGGGUGAGGAAUACAUCGGAAUCUACUCUGUCGUGGGGGAUAACGUAGGGAAACUUACGCUAAUACCGCAUACGACCUACGGGUGAAAGCAGGGGACCUUCGGGCCUUGCGCGAUUGAAUGAGCCGAUGUCGGAUUAGCUAGUUGGCGGGGUAAAGGCCCACCAAGGCGACGAUCCGUAGCUGGUCUGAGGAGAUGGUCAGCCACACUGGAACUGAGACACGGUCCAGACUCCUACGGGAGGCAGCAGUGGGGAAUAUUGGACAAUGGGCGCAAGCCUGAUCCAGCCAUACCGCGUGGGUGAAGAAGGCCUUCGGGUUGUAAAGCCCUUUUGUUGGGAAAGAAAUCCAGCUGGCUAAUACCCGGUUGGGAUGACGGUACCCAAAGAAUAAGCACCGGCUAACUUCGUGCCAGCCGCCGCCGUAA
RNAcentral lists this ribosomal RNA (506 nucleotides) under uncultured bacterium. Its description in RNAcentral is "partial 16S ribosomal RNA". It matches the Rfam family "Bacterial small subunit ribosomal RNA", at positions 29 to 523 of the family's 1533-position model. The record is from RNAcentral.